This 597-nucleotide unclassified non-coding RNA is filed under the name Hevea brasiliensis (rubber tree). The record is from RNAcentral. Lineage: Eukaryota; Viridiplantae; Streptophyta; Magnoliopsida; Malpighiales; Euphorbiaceae.
GUGUUCUUGUCCAUUACUUCCAUCUGGUCUAGAAAAGAAACAUUUGCAUUAUUAUCGUAAUACAAGUUUAUAUCUGAAAGACAUCUGAUAAAUUGUUACAAUGGCAACACAUCAUAUUAAAUACCAAUAAAAUAUUUUCCAAAAUGAGAAGCAAAAUUAUCAUAUUUCAUUUGAAGAACUCGAGGUACAGGUUAUUAUUGCUCAGUAAACAUCCAAUUACAAAUAAAAAUGAAAUGAUUCCAUGUGCAAAUAAGCAUGUGUGCACUAAAUCAGUCCCUAACAAAAUAAGCGUAGCAAACUUCAGUCCUUCAAAGAUACUGUUCUUAGCCAGCCGCUGUUGAACUUUGCUCACUUUCUUUUGUUGCCUGCAUCAGAUGUGGGGAUUUGAUCAAUGUACUUUCCUAUGGUGAUGGAAGAGGCAAGGGAGUCUAGCAGUAAUUUUUGAGAUCGAAAUAUUAGUGGGGUCACAGAACUCAUAAAAUCUUUUCUUAUAUUGUUCUUCUUUUAUGGAAUUCAUAAAGGCAGAGAAAUGCUAUUUGAAAGAUUUAUUUGGUCAUAGCCAAAGAUAGGGAGAAAAAAAAAAGAAAUGGCCUUCCA